CAGGCUUAACACAUGCAAGUCGAGGGGCAGCAUGGUCUUAGCUUGCUAAGGCCGAUGGCGACCGGCGCACGGGUGAGUAACACGUAUCCAACCUGCCGUCUACUCUUGGACAGCCUUCUGAAAGGAAGAUUAAUACAAGAUGGCAUCAUGAGUCCGCAUGUUCACAUGAUUAAAGGUAUUCCGGUAGACGAUGGGGAUGCGUUCCAUUAGAUAGUAGGCGGGGUAACGGCCCACCUAGUCUUCGAUGGAUAGGGGUUCUGAGAGGAAGGUCCCCCACAUUGGAACUGAGACACGGUCCAAACUCCUACGGGAGGCAGCAGUGAGGAAUAUUGGUCAAUGGGCGAGAGCCUGAACCAGCCAAGUAGCGUGAAGGAUGACUGCCCUAUGGGUUGUAAACUUCUUUUAUAAAGGAAUAAAGUCGGGUAUGCAUACCCGUUUGCAUGUACUUUAUGAAUAAGGAUCGGCUAACUCCGUGCCAGCAGCCGCGGUAAUACGGAGGAUCCGAGCGUUAUCCGGAUUUAUUGGGUUUAAAGGGAGCGUAGAUGGAUGUUUAAGUCAGUUGUGAAAGUUUGCGGCUCAACCGUAAAAUUGCAGUUGAUACUGGAUAUCUUGAGUGCAGUUGAGGCAGGCGGAAUUCGUGGUGUAGCGGUGAAAUGCUUAGAUAUCACGAAGAACUCCGAUUGCGAAGGCAGCCUGCUAAGCUGCAACUGACAUUGAGGCUCGAAAGUGUGGGUAUCAAACAGGAUUAGAUACCCUGGUAGUCCACACGGUAAACGAUGAAUACUCGCUGUUUGCGAUAUACAGCAAGCGGCCAAGCGAAAGCGUUAAGUAUUCCACCUGGGGAGUACGCCGGCAACGGUGAAACUCAAAGGAAUUGACGGGGGCCCGCACAAGCGGAGGAACAUGUGGUUUAAUUCGAUGAUACGCGAGGAACCUUACCCGGGCUUAAAUUGCAGAUGAAUUACGGUGAAAGCCGUAAGCCGCAAGGCAUCUGUGAAGGUGCUGCAUGGUUGUCGUCAGCUCGUGCCGUGAGGUGUCGGCUUAAGUGCCAUAACGAGCGCAACCCUUGUUGUCAGUUACUAACAGGUUCCGCUGAGGACUCUGACAAGACUGCCAUCGUAAGAUGUGAGGAAGGUGGGGAUGACGUCAAAUCAGCACGGCCCUUACGUCCGGGGCUACACACGUGUUACAAUGGGGGGGUACAGAGGGCCGCUACCACGCGAGUGGAUGCCAAUCCCAAAAACCUCUCUCAGUUCGGACUGGAGUCUGCAACCCGACUCCACGAAGCUGGAUUCGCUAGUAAUCGCGCAUCAGCCACGGCGCGGUGAAUACGUUCCCGGGCCUUGUACACACCGCCCGUCAAGCCAUGGGAGCCGGGGGUACCUGAAGUGCGUAACCGCGAGGAGCGCCCUAGGGUAAAACUGGUGACUGGGGCUAAG
This 1439-nucleotide ribosomal RNA is filed under the name uncultured organism. RNAcentral describes it as "16S ribosomal RNA". It matches the Rfam family "Bacterial small subunit ribosomal RNA". The record is from RNAcentral.